UACGGAGGGGGCUAGCGUUGUUCGGAAUUACUGGGCGUAAAGCGCACGUAGGCGGCUUUGUAAGUUAGAGGUGAAAGCCCGGGGCUCAACCCCGGAAUUGCCUUUGAGACUGCAUCGCUAGAACGUCGGAGAGGUAAGUGGAAUUCCGAGUGUAGAGGUGAAAUUCGUAGAUAUUCGGAAGAACACCAGUGGCGAAGGCGACUUACUGGACGACUGUUGACGCUGAGGUGCGAAAGCGUGGGGAGCAAACAGG
Molecule: ribosomal RNA, 253 nt
Filed under: uncultured bacterium
Lineage: Bacteria
Description: partial 16S ribosomal RNA
Rfam family: Bacterial small subunit ribosomal RNA
Source: RNAcentral